CGUUAAUUUGAGAGCAACACAUGCAGCACUUAAUUCAUCUGUUAGUCUGUUUCUGGUAUCAGAUUUGAUAUAAUUCAAUGCUGAAAACAGCUGCUCACAUGCAUAAGACGACCUAAACAACGAAAGAAGAGCAAGCCCAAGUGCUUUCAUUGACUUAAAAUUAUUCCGCAGAGAAUUCCACACUUUAAGGAUUUCAUUUUCAGAACUACCAACUGUGCUGUCCAUUGUCAUCCCUUCACAUUCUAUCUUCUCAAGUGUGGCAUGCAGGGCAUAGAAUUUAUUUUUCCAGAUAGAGCUUUCUUGAAAUUCUAAUAGCUCUAUUUCCAGAUUUUUUAAAUCUAACCAGUGUAAGCAGGAAACAUCAAGCUCUUCAUAUUUGGCUUUAUCUGGAGAAGUGAGAAAAUACAGGGUUAUCUCCAUUUUCCGGAAAUGCAAGAAUCUGUUGCUAAAAUUCUCC
This is a non-coding RNA of Pelobates cultripes (western spadefoot toad), 457 nucleotides long. The record is from the annotation of a GenBank genome assembly. NCBI's taxonomy places the organism in Eukaryota, Metazoa, Chordata, Amphibia, Anura, Pelobatidae.